UACGGAGGGUGCGAGCGUUAAUCGGAAUUACUGGGCGUAAAGCGUGCGUAGGCGGUUGGUUAAGUUAGAUGUGAAAGCCCCGGGCUCAACCUGGGAACGGCAUUUAAAACUGGCCAGCUAGAGUUAGGUAGAGGGGGGCGGAAUUCCGGGUGUAGCGGUGAAAUGCGUAGAUAUCCGGAGGAACACCAGUGGCGAAGGCGGCCCCCUGGACCCAAACUGACGCUGAGGUACGAAAGCGUGGGUAGCAAACAGG
This 253-nucleotide ribosomal RNA is filed under the name uncultured bacterium. RNAcentral describes it as "partial 16S ribosomal RNA". It matches the Rfam family "Bacterial small subunit ribosomal RNA", at positions 524 to 776 of the family's 1533-position model. The record is from RNAcentral.